CGCCUCUUGCUUAAUUAUAAGAGGUCCAGCCUGCCCAGUGACAAAGUUUAACGGCCGCGGUACCCUAACCGUGCGAAGGUAGCAUAAUCACUUGUUCUUUAAAUAGGGACUUGUAUCAACGGCAUCACGAGGGCUAUACUGUCUCCUUUCUCCAAUCAGUGAAACUGAUCUCCCCGUGAAGAAGCGGGGAUUAACCUAUAAGACGAGAAGACCCCAUGGAGCUUCAAGCCAAGAAGCAACUUUUUACUUCAUGACCUUAAAACCCUCAAGUUAUGCUUGCUGGCUUUAGGUUGGGGUGACCGCGGAGUACAAUGUAACCUCCACGAUGUAAAGGACCUCCCUUAUCCAAGAAUGACAAUUCAAAGAGCCAUAAAAAUACCACACAAUGAUCCGAAAUUCGAUCAACGGACCAAGUUACCCUGGGGAUAACAGCGCAAUCCAUUUCAAGAGCUCAUAUCGACAAAUGGGUUUACGACCUCGAUGUUGGAUCAGGGUAUCCCAGUGGUGCAGCCGCUACUAAAGGUUCGUUUGUUCAACGAUUAAAACCCU
RNAcentral lists this ribosomal RNA (549 nucleotides) under Pyxicephalus edulis (edible bullfrog). RNAcentral's name for it is "partial 16S ribosomal RNA". It matches the Rfam family "Bacterial large subunit ribosomal RNA", at positions 1830 to 2597 of the family's 2925-position model. The record is from RNAcentral. Lineage: Eukaryota; Metazoa; Chordata; Amphibia; Anura; Pyxicephalidae.